RNAcentral lists this ribosomal RNA (492 nucleotides) under uncultured bacterium. RNAcentral's name for it is "partial 16S ribosomal RNA". It matches the Rfam family "Bacterial small subunit ribosomal RNA", at positions 29 to 507 of the family's 1533-position model. The record is from RNAcentral.
AGUGAACGCUGGCGGUAGGCCUAACACAUGCAAGUCGAACGGCAGCACAGUAAGAGCUUGCUCUUACGGGUGGCGAGUGGCGGACGGGUGAGGAAUACAUCGGAAUCUACUUUUUCGUGGGGGAUAACGUAGGGAAACUUACGCUAAUACCGCAUACGACCUACGGGUGAAAGCAGGGGAUCUUCGGACCUUGCGCGAUUGAAUGAGCCGAUUUCGGAUUAGCUAGUUGGCGGGGUAAAGGCCCACCAAGGCGACGAUCCGUAGCUGGUCUGAGAGGAUGAUCAGCCAAACUGGAACUGAGACACGGUCCAGACUCCUACGGGAGGCAGCAGUGGGGAAUAUUGGACAAUGGGCGCAAGCCUGAUCCAGCAAUACCGCGUGGGUGAAGAAGGCCUUCGGGUUGUAAAGCCCUUUUGUUGGGAAAGAAAAGCAGAAGGUUAAUACCCCGCUGUUCUGACGGUACCCAAAGAAUAAGCACCGGCUAACUUCGUG